RNAcentral lists this ribosomal RNA (254 nucleotides) under uncultured bacterium. Its description in RNAcentral is "partial 16S ribosomal RNA". It matches the Rfam family "Bacterial small subunit ribosomal RNA", at positions 524 to 776 of the family's 1533-position model. The record is from RNAcentral.
UACGUAGGGUGCAAGCGUUAAUCGGAAUUACUGGGCGUAAAGCGUGCGCAGGCGGUUUUGUAAGUCUGUCGUGAAAUCCCCGGGCUCAACCUGGGAAUUGCGAUGGAGACUGCAAGGCUAGAAUCUGGCAGAGGGGGGUAGAAUUCCACGUGUAGCAGUGAAAUGCGUAGAGAUGUGGAGGAACACCGAUGGCGAAGGCAGCCCCCUGGGUCAAGAUUGGACGCUCAUGCACGAAAGCGUGGGGAGCAACAAGG